This 506-nucleotide ribosomal RNA is filed under the name uncultured bacterium. Its description in RNAcentral is "partial 16S ribosomal RNA". It matches the Rfam family "Bacterial small subunit ribosomal RNA", at positions 29 to 523 of the family's 1533-position model. The record is from RNAcentral.
AGUGAACGCUGGCGGUAGGCCUAACACAUGCAAGUCGAACGGCAGCACAGGAGAGCUUGCUCUCUGGGUGGCGAGUGGCGGACGGGUGAGGAAUACAUCGGAAUCUACUUUUUCGUGGGGGAUAACGUAGGGAAACUUACGCUAAUACCGCAUACGACCUACGGGUGAAAGCAGGGGAUCUUCGGACCUUUCUCGAUUGAAGGAGCCGAUGUCGGAUUAGCUAGUUGGCGGGGUAAAGGUCCACCAAGGCGACGAUCCGUAGCUGGUCUGAGAGGAUGAUCAGCCACACUGGAGCUGAGACACGGUCCAGACUCCUACGGGAGGCAGCAGUGGGGAAUAUUGGACAAUGUGCGCAAGCCUGAUCCAGCCAUACCGCGUGGGUGAAGAAGGCCUUCGGGUUGUAAAGCCCUUUGGUUGGGAAAGAAAUCCAGCUGGUUAAUACCCGGUUGGGAUGACGGUACCCAAAGAAUAAGCACCGGCUAACUUCGUGCCAGCCGCCGCCGUAA